GAUGAACGCUGGCGGCGUGCUUAACACAUGCAAGUCGAACGAAGCACUUUAUUUGAUUUCCUUCGGGACUGAUUAUUUUGUGACUGAGUGGCGGACGGGUGAGUAACGCGUGGGUAACCUGCCUUUUACAGGGGGAUAACAGUUGGAAACGGCUGCUAAUACCGCAUAAGCGCACGGCAUCGCAUGAUGCAGUGUGAAAAACUCCGGUGGUAUAAGAUGGACCCGCGUUGGAUUAGCUAGUUGGUGAGGUAACGGCCCACCAAGGCGACGAUCCAUAGCCGACCUGAGAGGGUGACCGGCCACAUUGGGACUGAGACACGGCCCAAACUCCUACGGGAGGCAGCAGUGGGGAAUAUUGCACAAUGGGCGAAAGCCUGAUGCAGCGACGCCGCGUGAGCGAAGAAGUAUUUCGGGAUGUAAAGCGCUAGCAGCAGGGAAGAUAAUGACGGUACCUGACUAAGAAGCACCGGCUAAAUACGUG
RNAcentral lists this ribosomal RNA (481 nucleotides) under uncultured bacterium. RNAcentral's name for it is "partial 16S ribosomal RNA". It matches the Rfam family "Bacterial small subunit ribosomal RNA", at positions 28 to 507 of the family's 1533-position model. The record is from RNAcentral.